Molecule: ribosomal RNA, 732 nt
Filed under: uncultured bacterium
Lineage: Bacteria
Description: bacterial SSU rRNA
Rfam family: Bacterial small subunit ribosomal RNA
Source: RNAcentral
GGGUGAGUAACACGUGGGUAACCUGCCCAAGAGACUGGGAUAACACCUGGAAACAGAUGCUAAUACCGGAUAACAACACUAGACGCAUGUCUAGAGUUUGAAAGAUGGUUCUGCUAUCACUCUUGGAUGGACCUGCGGUGCAUUAGCUAGUUGGUAAGGUAACGGCUUACCAAGGCAAUGAUGCAUAGCCGAGUUGAGAGACUGAUCGGCCACAUUGGGACUGAGACACGGCCCAAACUCCUACGGGAGGCAGCAGUAGGGAAUCUUCCACAAUGGACGAAAGUCUGAUGGAGCAACGCCGCGUGAGUGAAGAAGGGUUUCGGCUCGUAAAGCUCUGUUGGUAGUGAAGAAAGAUAGAGGUAGUAACUGGCCUUUAUUUGACGGUAAUUACUUAGAAAGUCACGGCUAACUACGUGCCAGCAGCCGCGGUAAUACGUAGGUGGCAAGCGUUGUCCGGAUUUAUUGGGCGUAAAGCGAGUGCAGGCGGUUCAAUAAGUCUGAUGUGAAAGCCUUCGGCUCAACCGGAGAAUUGCAUCAGAAACUGUUGAACUUGAGUGCAGAAGAGGAGAGUGGAACUCCAUGUGUAGCGGUGGAAUGCGUAGAUAUAUGGAAGAACACCAGUGGCGAAGGCGGCUCUCUGGUCUGCAACUGACGCUGAGGCUCGAAAGCAUGGGUAGCGAACAGGAUUAGAUACCCUGGUAGUCCAUGCCGUAAACGAUGAGUGCUAGGUGU